UGCGAGCUCUCGCGGCGUCGCUCGCGCUAGGUUUGGUUGACUCGUCAGUCCCCAGCAACCAGAGCUGGAAGGAUGGGAGGGGGCGGGGUCGGGCUGCUGCCUGACAGGAGAAAGGAGGGAGGGUGACUAACAGGAGGAAAAAGGAAAGGAUUGGCAGCCCGAAAGAGCGUAACUGGGAAAGAGGCAGUGGCAGAAACUGUGGGAGGGGGAGACUAGGAGGAGACCGGGUACCCCGCCAGUCACUGCAGAAAGGAGGGGAAAUCCUGCCUGUAAAGAGCCAUCGCAGCCUCACACCCGGGCAGGGGACACAUGCACCGCAAGAAGGGGUGGUGGAGGCAGAGAGAUAGGAGAGCUCGCAGGGAGCACAUCUGGAUGUAAAGUGGACGAGGGGGUGAAAAAGGAGGAAACGGAACCUUGGACAUCUGCCAGGGCUUUUCAUUUGUCUGAAGUGAUGCAGAUCUUGCCUGGAAAAGAUCAGAGCAACUCUGAGUCAAAACCACAUUAAGCAUAUACUCGAAUAUUCUGGCUCCGGAGGCCCAAGUGACUGGCAAUGGUACAACCCCAUUAGGGUUCCUCAUCUAUUUGAUGAUGACUGCUAUCCCUGCUUUUUUGAGUUGACUUGAAGAAAAAUAAUUUCUGCCCCAGCCUCUUAUUUUGAUUCUGUGAAUCUUUACACUUCAAAUGUGUUCAUGGAAACUGUGUUUAUUGAAAAUGGAUUCAGCUACCCUCCUCCAUUUUAAGAAUGAAAACACUGAAUCCCACUGAGGAGAAGUGACUUGUCCAGGGUAACAUAAGUGAGUUAAGGCCCAGCGAGAAAGCUGUUACCCUGAGCUUGGCAUACCAACAACCCUUCGUGCUCGCGCUGUGGAUGAACACUGCUGCAACUAAAUCACAGAACUGACAGUGCCUGAGCUCGGCCAAGCACCAACAGACUUGAAGCCCUGCUAUGAAUGGACUUUUUGUCACUAGAUAACCUUGCCUCACUGUUGCUGUUGUUUCUCACCACUUUUGCUACAAUCCACCAUUUGAUCCUCUAUCUAGCCACAAAUAUAUAAAUCAAGAUUUAGCCCAGGGGUGGGGAACCUGAAUCCAAUCUGGAUUUCAGUCAAAGGGUGGUAUUUGAGGACCACAGUGUGGCCUUGAGACCACAGGUUCCCCACCCCUGGUUUAGCCCCACUGCCUUGGGUCUCCUCCUAGAGGAGGCCCCAGUACAUGUGUCUAAUUACCCUUCUCCAAUGGAAUAAAGAAAGUUUUGUGCUGA
Long non-coding RNA from Phascolarctos cinereus (koala), 1261 nucleotides. RefSeq lists it as uncharacterized. The record is from RefSeq and is a predicted model, not a curated record. NCBI's taxonomy places the organism in Eukaryota, Metazoa, Chordata, Mammalia, Diprotodontia, Phascolarctidae.